CGUAUCCUGGGAAUGCAUAUUGCAUAUUCAGGAAACAGAGACAAAUCUUUUUCACUUGAGUCAAGAGGGUUCAGGGCUUGUCAUCUGUUUCUGGGAUAUAGAGAAAUGGAAAAUAGAAGAGUUCUAACCUCAUUCUGUAUUGCAAGGGAAGGAGCUUGUCAUAUAGUCACUUGUGUUGGACCCUUGAAUGGCUCAACUCACUGUCCUCGUACAGUGAUCACUUCAAAGAAGCACGUGUUUCACUGAAUACAACCAGGGGCCCAUCUAUCUCAUGCCUCUAGCUUUUCAUCCUCCUCCCUUGAAAAUUAAGAUAGCAGCCCCAGCUCCAGGUGGAAAGGACAGCUUACUCAUCAAGGGAGUUACAGUGUCUGCAGCCUGUACUGAGUCAGAGUAUCUGAGAGAGGAUCCCAGGAACCAAUCUGGAACAAAGGACAG
This 435-nucleotide long non-coding RNA is filed under the name Homo sapiens (human). RNAcentral's name for it is "HSALNT0193092". Lineage: Eukaryota; Metazoa; Chordata; Mammalia; Primates; Hominidae. The record is from RNAcentral.